Molecule: long non-coding RNA, 529 nt
Organism: Plodia interpunctella (Indianmeal moth)
Lineage: Eukaryota; Metazoa; Arthropoda; Insecta; Lepidoptera; Pyralidae
Exons: 4
Source: RefSeq, a predicted model, not a curated record
UCUGUGUCACUAUGCGCGCGUUUUCCACGUUUUCCCGCUAACUCGCCAUUAGGGGUGGCUCGGUAACUGUUAGGUUAGGCAUCAAAAUCACCGCUUUGCGCAUUUUCGCACUUAUAUUUAGGUGUGAUAAUACAGGAAAUUAGAGUGAAAUCAGUCACACUAAAACUGCCUGAACUGCAUCAUUUCAGUGGUAGUGUACAACGUAUGAUAAAACAAGAGUACGAACGAAUGAAUUUAUCAAAUAAUUUAUUAUUUUCAAAAGAAUUUUUACCUUAUCUCAUAUGGGUUCAUCAUCAGGAUCACUCGUGUGUCUAUCAGUCCGUCUGUCACAGCCAAUUUGCUCCGAAACUACUGGACCAAAUCAGAUUAAAUUUGGUUCACGCAUUCGCGGCGCCAUGUCUCUGAGUUCCGCGACAGUAUGGAGUUGGCCCCUUGAUCUCCAAAACUACUGAGUCUAAAAUUUUAUAUAGAAAACCUAUAAGAAUUUACGAGAAUAAAAAAUACGAAAAUUAAGGUAUGCAAUUCACGA